GCCGUGAUCGUAUAGUGGUUAGUACUCUGCGUUGUGGCUGCAGCAACCCCAGUUCGAAUCCGGGUCACGGCA
Molecule: non-coding RNA, 72 nt
Organism: Danio rerio (zebrafish)
Lineage: Eukaryota; Metazoa; Chordata; Actinopteri; Cypriniformes; Danionidae
Source: Rfam